UGUCUUCUUCUCUCAUAUCAGGAUCAGAGCCAUAAGUUUUAAUCAAAGAAUUAUGGUUGCUCCUCCAGAGUUUGUUCAGCCUGCCAUUGAUGUAAGUUUGUGCAGCUUUGCUUCCACUUAAAUCAUAUUCAGCCUACAUAUUCAAAACUUAUAAGUUUUGGAAAAUUAAUAAAUUAUAUAAAAAAUUAUAUACUUACAGUUAAUAUUUUUAGCGUGUCUUGGAAAUUCUGUUGUGGUUGAUGACGCCACUCAAUGUCGUACGGAAAAAGAGUAUGGUCUUUUGCUAAAAGAGCCAUUCUUGUCGUUAA
Molecule: long non-coding RNA, 308 nt
Filed under: Zostera marina
Lineage: Eukaryota; Viridiplantae; Streptophyta; Magnoliopsida; Alismatales; Zosteraceae
Description: long non-coding RNA (ZMAR_LNC000893)
Source: RNAcentral